GACUCUGGGAGGCAGUGACAAGAAAUAUCAAUAGGGGAUCCUAUGGGUCUUCUAAUUGGAAUGAGAACAAGCUAAACAGCUUAUCGAGAAUCCAGCAGAGGGCAAGUCUGGUGCCAGCAGCCGCGGUAAUUCCAGCUCUGUAAGCGUAUACCAAAGUUGUUGCAGUUAAAACGCUCGUAGUCGGAAUUUGGCAGUUCCGGAUGUGAGCACGUCGUGUGAGCACUUUGCGGGGGUUGCUUUUGUGGUCUUGCGUAGGAUGAGGCACUUUUGUUAGKGAACGUCCUCACGCAUCCACUUUUUACUGUGAGAAAAUCAGAGUGCUCAAAGCAGGCAUUUGCCGUGAAUGUAUUAGCAUGGAAUAAUAGAAUAKGACUCGGCUCUAUUUUGUUGGUUUGUUAGGGCUGAGUAAUGAUUAAGAGGGACAGUUGGGGGCAUUUGUAUUUCGGCGCUAGAGGUGAAAUUCUUAGAUUGCCCAAAGACAAACUGCUGCGAAAGCGUCUGCCAAGGAUGUUUUCAUUGAUCAAGAACGAAAGUAAGGGGAUCGAAGACGAUCAGAUACCGUCGUAGUCUUUACUAUAAACGAUGAGAACUGGGGAUCGGGCGAGGAAUUACGAUGACCCGCCCGGCACCCUUCGAGAAAUCAAAGUGUUUGCUUUCUGGGGGGAGUAUGGUCGCAAGGCUGAAACUUAAAGGAAUUGACGGAAGGGCAUCACCGGGUGUGGAGCCUGCGGCUUAAUUUGACUCAACACGGGAAAACUUACCAGGUCAGGACAUAGUGAGGAUUGACAGAUUGAGAGCUCUUUCUUGAUUCUAUGGUUGGUGGUGCAUGGCCGUUCUUAGUUGGUGGAGUGAUUUGUCUGGUUAAUUCCGUUAACGAGCGAGACCUGGGCGUGCUAACUAGGGGCUACUACCAUUUUGGUAGUACGCUUUCCCUUCUUAGACGGACUGUGGGCGUCUAGCCCACGGAAGCUCCAGGCAAUAACAGGUCUGAGAUGCCCUUAGAUGUUCUGGGCCGCACGCGUGCUACACUGAGUGGAUCAGCGGGUCAGGUUGCGCGAAAGUGUUUCCUAAUCUUGAAAUCCGCUCGUGAUGGGGAUUGACGGUUGCAAUUUUCAGUCSUGAACGAGGAAUACCUUGUAAGCGCGGGUCAUCAUCCCGCGCUGAAUACGUCCCUGCCCUUUGUACACACCGCCCGUCGCUCCUACCGAUUGAGUGGUCCGGUGAGGCUUUGGGAUUCGAGCG
This 1242-nucleotide ribosomal RNA is filed under the name Corallinales sp. Q_Twist-2019. RNAcentral describes it as "SSU rRNA". It matches the Rfam family "Eukaryotic small subunit ribosomal RNA", at positions 455 to 1742 of the family's 1831-position model. Lineage: Eukaryota; Rhodophyta; Florideophyceae; Corallinales. The record is from RNAcentral.